UUGGAGGGCAAGUCUGGUGCCAGCAGCCGCGGUAAUUCCAGCUCCAAUAGCGUAUAUUAAAGUUGUUGCAGUUAAAAAGCUCGUAGUUGAAUUUCGGGAUCGGUGGGUCGGUCGUGCCUCCGGUACGCACUGUCCUUCCCGGUUCUUCCCCUUGGAAGAACCGCGAUGUCAUUAAUUUGGUGUUGCGGGGAAUCAGGACUGUUCCUGUGAAAAAAUUAGAGUGUUUAAACCAGGCUAAAGCUUGAAUCCAUUACCAGGGAAUAAUGAAAUAGGACGUUUGAUCUUAUUUUGUUGGUUUUUAAGAUCGACGUAAUGAUUAAUAGGGAUAGUUGGGGGCAUUAUUAUUCAAUUUUCAGAGGUGAAAUUCUUGGAUUUAUUGAAGACUAACUACUACGAAACCAUUUGCCAAGGAUGUUUUCAUUAAUCAAGAACGAAAGUUAGGGGAUCGAAGACGAUCAGAUCCCGUCGUAUUCUUAACCAUAAAGUACCCGAUUAGGGAUUCGGAAGGAGUUUUAUUUUA
This 520-nucleotide ribosomal RNA is filed under the name uncultured Glomus. RNAcentral's name for it is "bacterial SSU rRNA". It matches the Rfam family "Eukaryotic small subunit ribosomal RNA", at positions 548 to 1072 of the family's 1831-position model. Lineage: Eukaryota; Fungi; Glomeromycota; Glomeromycetes; Glomerales; Glomeraceae. The record is from RNAcentral.